RNAcentral lists this ribosomal RNA (338 nucleotides) under uncultured bacterium. Its description in RNAcentral is "bacterial SSU rRNA". It matches the Rfam family "Bacterial small subunit ribosomal RNA", at positions 1 to 334 of the family's 1533-position model. The record is from RNAcentral.
ACAGAUCGUUCAGAGUUUGAUCCUGGCUCAGGACGAACGCUGGCGGCGUGCCUAACACAUGCAAGUCGAACGAAGUGAAGAUUUCGGUUUUCACUUAGUGGCGGACGGGUGAGUAACGCGUGAGUAACCUGCCUUUCAGAGGGGGAUAGCGUUUGGAAACGAACGGUAAUACCGCAUGAUAUCAUUGAGCUGCAUGGCUCGAUGAUCAAAGGAGCAAUCCGCUGAAAGAUGGACUCGCGUCCGAUUAGCUAGUUGGCGGGAUAACAGCCCACCAAGGCGACGAUCGGUAGCCGAACUGAGAGGUUGAUCGGCCACAUUGGGACUGAGACACGGCCCAG